RNAcentral lists this unclassified non-coding RNA (315 nucleotides) under fungal sp. RNAcentral's name for it is "partial internal transcribed spacer region". The stretch from base 1 to 46 matches the Rfam family "Eukaryotic small subunit ribosomal RNA", at positions 1786 to 1831 of the family's 1831-position model. Lineage: Eukaryota; Fungi. The record is from RNAcentral.
AAGUCGUAACAAGGUAACCGUAGGUGAACCUGCGGUUGGAUCAUUACCGAUUGCUUUUGCUCUCGCUACCCUUGUGGCAGCUUGAGAGCAACUGUAUCAACCUAUUGUGAACUGUUCUGUUUCUGGCGGCGGGGCUAGCUUAGUGGCCAAGCCUGUCAGCCUGCCUAGCCUGUCAAUAUGGCUGGGUUCAGGCCGUGGACAAACCGCCAAUGGCUUCGGCCGCAGACUCAACUUUUGAUACUUUAAUACUAAAGUCUAAAGUGAACCUGUAUACUAAUAUACAAACAACUUUUGGCAACGGAUCUCUUGGCUCUC